Molecule: ribosomal RNA, 793 nt
Filed under: uncultured bacterium
Lineage: Bacteria
Description: bacterial SSU rRNA
Rfam family: Bacterial small subunit ribosomal RNA
Source: RNAcentral
AGAGUUUGAUCAUGGCUCAGAUUGAACGCUGGCGGCAGGCCUAACACAUGCAAGUCGAGCGGUAGAGAGAAGCUUGCUUCUCUUGAGAGCGGCGGACGGGUGAGUAAUGCCUAGGAAUCUGCCUGGUAGUGGGGGAUAACGUUCGGAAACGGACGCUAAUACCGCAUACGUCCUACGGGAGAAAGCAGGGGACCUUCGGGCCUUGCGCUAUCAGAUGAGCCUAGGUCGGAUUAGCUAGUUGGUGAGGUAAUGGCUCACCAAGGCGACGAUCCGUAACUGGUCUGAGAGGAUGAUCAGUCACACUGGAACUGAGACACGGUCCAGACUCCUACGGGAGGCAGCAGUGGGGAAUAUUGGACAAUGGGCGAAAGCCUGAUCCAGCCAUGCCGCGUGUGUGAAGAAGGUCUUCGGAUUGUAAAGCACUUUAAGUUGGGAGGAAGGGUUGUAGAUUAAUACUCUGCAAUUUUGACGUUACCGACAGAAUAAGCACCGGCUAACUCUGUGCCAGCAGCCGCGGUAAUACAGAGGGUGCAAGCGUUAAUCGGAAUUACUGGGCGUAAAGCGCGCGUAGGUGGUUUGUUAAGUUGGAUGUGAAAUCCCCGGGCUCAACCUGGGAACUGCAUUCAAAACUGACUGACUAGAGUAUGGUAGAGGGUGGUGGAAUUUCCCGUGUAGCGGUGAAAUGCGUAGAUAUAGGAAGGAACACCAGUGGCGAAGGCGACCACCUGGACUAAUACUGACACUGAGGUGCGAAAGCGUGGGGAGCAAACAGGAUUAGAUACCCUGGUAGUCC